Molecule: ribosomal RNA, 135 nt
Filed under: uncultured eukaryote
Lineage: Eukaryota
Description: partial 18S ribosomal RNA
Rfam family: Eukaryotic small subunit ribosomal RNA
Source: RNAcentral
UGGUGGAGCGAUUUGUCUGGUUAAUUCCGAUAACGAACGAGACUCUAGCCUGCUAAAUAGUCCGCAGAUCGCAUCGUCUGCAGCACCUCUUAGAGGGACAAGCGGCAUUUAGCCGCACGAAAAUGAGCAAUAACA